Molecule: long non-coding RNA, 656 nt
Filed under: Equus asinus (donkey)
Lineage: Eukaryota; Metazoa; Chordata; Mammalia; Perissodactyla; Equidae
Description: lncRNA (ENSEASG00005031009.1)
Source: RNAcentral
GCAGAUCAGAGCAGCUGGCCAAACUGAAAAGGAACGGCCAGAUUGGUGGGAAGCCACAGAGUGAGGGCCACGGCAGCAGCUCCAGAGUCAAGCAGUGGUCAACAGUGGCGAGUGCUUGUGACAUCAGUUGCACCUCCCAGAGUCCUGUAAAGCACAUGGUCCAACCCGUUACCUAACAAGGCCAAUGACAUUUUGCUGAUCUCCACUCUAAUGGGAACACUGGCCUGGCAUUAAAACGCAAGCACAGACUGCCCAGCCAAGUACCGAGGCCUUGGCCAUCCCUAUAAGUCAGCAGCCUUGAACUGUAAACCUUCCACACCCUCUUCAAGUGACUUAGAGCAGCACCAACUGUCACCAUGAAAGCUCUAGUCUCUUCCCUCCUUCUAUUGCCGCCACUAACGCUGACAUAGGUGGUCGCCAGCAGCCCAAAUCCAGACUUAAAAAAUACUGUAAACGUGGGGCUGGCCCCGUGGCCGAGUGGUUAAGUUCGCGCGCUCCGCUGCAGGCGGCCCAGUGUUUCGUUAGUUCGAAUCCUGGGCGCGGACAUGGCACUGCUCAUCGGACCACACUGAGGCAGCGUCCCACAUGCCACAACUAGAAGAACCCACAACGAAGAAUACACAACUAUGUACCGGGGGGCUUUGGGGAGAAAAAGG